RNAcentral lists this ribosomal RNA (458 nucleotides) under uncultured bacterium. Its description in RNAcentral is "partial 16S ribosomal RNA". It matches the Rfam family "Bacterial small subunit ribosomal RNA", at positions 338 to 795 of the family's 1533-position model. The record is from RNAcentral.
CCUACGGGAGGCUGCAGUGAGGAAUAUUGGUCAAUGGGCGAGAGCCUGAACCAGCCAAGUCGCGUGAGGGAGUACUGCCCUAUGGGUUGUAAACCUCUUUUGUCGGGGAGCAAAAGCCGGACGUGUCCGGCUGUGAGAGUACCCGAAGAAAAAGCAUCGGCUAACACCGUGCCAGCAGCCGCGGUAAUACGGAGGAUGCGAGCGUUAUCCGGAUUUAUUGGGUUUAAAGGGGGCGAAGGCGGAUUUUUAAGUCAGCGGUAAAAUCGUGGGGCUCAACCCCAUCCAGCCGUUGAAACUGGGGAUCUAGAGUGUGCGAGAGGUAUGCGGAAUGCGUGGUGUAGCGGUGAAAUGCAUAGAUAUCACGCAGAACCCCGAUUGCGAAGGCAGCAUACCGGUGCACAACUGACGCUCAGGCACGAAAGCGUGGGUAUCGAACAGGAUUAGAUACCCCAGUAGUC